AGUGAACGUUGGCGGCGUGGAUUAGGCAUGCAAGUCGAGCGAGAACCGUAGCAAUACGGGGACAGCGGCGAAAGGGACAGUAAUGUGUAGGUACCUACCCCGAGGUCUGGGAUAGCUGCGGGAAACUGCAGGUAAUACCGGAUAAUGUCUUCGGACCAAAGGUGUGAUUCCACCUUGGGAGGGGCCUGCAUCCUAUUAGCUAGUUGGCGGGGUAAUGGCCCACCAAGGCAACGAUGGGUAGCGGGUGUGAGAGCACGACCCGCGUCAUUGGGACUGGGAUACUGCCCAGACACCUACGGGUGGCUGCAGUCGAGGAUCUUCGGCAAUGGGCGAAAGCCUGACCGAGCGACGCUGCGUGCGGGAUGAAGGCCUUCGGGUUGUAAACCGCUGUCGUAGAGGAGGAAAUGCAGGGGGGUUCUCCCUUCUGUUUGACCUAUUCUAGGAGGAAGGACGGGCUAAGUUCGUACCAGCAGCCGCCGUAA
This 482-nucleotide ribosomal RNA is filed under the name uncultured bacterium. Its description in RNAcentral is "partial 16S ribosomal RNA". It matches the Rfam family "Bacterial small subunit ribosomal RNA", at positions 28 to 523 of the family's 1533-position model. The record is from RNAcentral.